CUUUUUUCCUUGCAGGUAAGGUUCAAGAAAUUCUAUGUUUGUGCAAUCUUUGAGGGGUGACCCAUUCCGGGCUUUUCAUAUGAGCAUCCUGGCAGCGUAUUGGCACCCAUUUGCUAAGUCUGAGAUUGUUAAGGUGAAUUUAUUGCAGUCUGAUGAAGGUACUGAAGAGAACUCCCGUGCUUGUGGCAGGCAGGCUUCAUCCAGUAUGGGAGGUUAAUAACCAUGGCCCUUGUUUUAUAAAAAUGACAGAUCUAUGCCUUUAUGGCAUGCCUAUGAAUUCUAACUAGCUGGUAUUCCCUAAAUAUGGAUAUUCAAUUGGAAUUUUCUUCAUUUUAUUUAUUUAUUUUUCUUUUUUUUGAGGGGUGGGGAGAGUGAGGCUCGCUGUUCAGUGCUUUAUAGUAGUUAUAUGUUGCUUUAUGAAUAGCAGUCUCUCUGGACUGGGACAAUCAACUCAUGAUGUCGCGGAUGAGGCUGUUCAAAUAUCAUUACUAGCAGUGGAUAAUUUUCUAUGUUCUAAAAUGAACCAUGGAUGAUUUUUGUAUUCGAAUUUAUGAAGUAAAAUACCUUUUUUCGAACCCCUUCUACUAUGAAAUAUAGUUGAUUUUUAUAUUCA
Molecule: non-coding RNA, 613 nt
Organism: Phoenix dactylifera (date palm)
Lineage: Eukaryota; Viridiplantae; Streptophyta; Magnoliopsida; Arecales; Arecaceae
Source: RefSeq, a predicted model, not a curated record